Small nucleolar RNA from Spea bombifrons (plains spadefoot toad), 127 nucleotides. RefSeq annotates it as small nucleolar RNA SNORA65. The record is from RefSeq and is a predicted model, not a curated record. The transcript has a single exon. NCBI's taxonomy places the organism in Eukaryota, Metazoa, Chordata, Amphibia, Anura, Pelobatidae.
CCCGCCACUAUAACAGUCUGCUGCGUGACUGCGUAUAAUCCAGUGGUGAGCUGAGAAGAAACCCCUUCUUAGGAAACAGGCUUAUUCUGCUUGUGAAUGAUUCUGUGCCGAAAGACUGGGGACAAGA